Molecule: ribosomal RNA, 301 nt
Filed under: uncultured bacterium
Lineage: Bacteria
Description: bacterial SSU rRNA
Rfam family: Bacterial small subunit ribosomal RNA
Source: RNAcentral
AUUGAACGCUGGCGGCAUGCCUUACACAUGCAAGUCGAACGGCAGCACGGGAGCAAUCCUGGUGGCGAGUGGCGAACGGGUGAGUAAUAUAUCGGAACGUGCCCAGUCGUGGGGGAUAACGUAGCGAAAGCUACGCUAAUACCGCAUACGAUCUAUGGAUGAAAGCGGGGGAUCGCAAGACCUCGCGCGAUUGGAGCGGCCGAUAUCAGAUUAGGUAGUUGGUGAGGUAAAGGCUCACCAAGCCGACGAUCUGUAGCUGGUCUGAGAGGACGACCAGCCACACUGGACUGAGACACGGCCC